Non-coding RNA from Tachyglossus aculeatus (Australian echidna), 74 nucleotides. NCBI's taxonomy places the organism in Eukaryota, Metazoa, Chordata, Mammalia, Monotremata, Tachyglossidae. The record is from the annotation of a RefSeq genome assembly.
AAGAGCAUAGCUCAGGGGUAGAGCAUUUGACUGCAGAUCAAGAGGUCCCUGGUUCAAAUCCGGAUGCCCCCUUG